Molecule: transfer RNA, 73 nt
Filed under: Stegodyphus mimosarum
Lineage: Eukaryota; Metazoa; Arthropoda; Arachnida; Araneae; Eresidae
Rfam family: tRNA
About the family: Transfer RNA (tRNA) molecules are approximately 80 nucleotides in length. Their secondary structure includes four short double-helical elements and three loops (D, anti-codon, and T loops). Further hydrogen bonds mediate the characteristic L-shaped molecular structure. tRNAs have two regions of fundamental functional importance: the anti-codon, which is responsible for specific mRNA codon recognition, and the 3' end, to which the tRNAs corresponding amino acid is attached (by aminoacyl-tRNA synthetases). tRNAs cope with the degeneracy of the genetic code in two manners: having more than one tRNA (with a specific anti-codon) for a particular amino acid; and 'wobble' base-pairing, i.e. permitting non-standard base-pairing at the 3rd anti-codon position.
Source: Rfam by way of RNAcentral
GCUUUCGUGGUGUAGUGGUCAGCAUGCUAGGUGCGUAUUUGAGAGGUCCGUGGUUCGAGUCCCAGCGAAGGCA